RNAcentral lists this ribosomal RNA (19 nucleotides) under Crotalaria pallida (smooth rattlebox). Its description in RNAcentral is "partial 18S ribosomal RNA". The record is from RNAcentral. Lineage: Eukaryota; Viridiplantae; Streptophyta; Magnoliopsida; Fabales; Fabaceae. RNAcentral also lists the same sequence under 1 other name.
GACCUGCGGAGGAUCAUUG